This 471-nucleotide ribosomal RNA is filed under the name uncultured bacterium. RNAcentral's name for it is "partial 16S ribosomal RNA". It matches the Rfam family "Bacterial small subunit ribosomal RNA", at positions 28 to 507 of the family's 1533-position model. The record is from RNAcentral.
GACGAACGCUGGCGGCGUGCUUAACACAUGCCAGUCGAACGAUGAAGCCUAGCUUGCUAGGUGGAUUAGUGGCGAACGGGUGAGUAAUACGUGAGUGACCUACCUUUGACUCUGGGAUAAGCCUGGGAAACUGGGUCUAAUACCGGAUACGACCAAUCUCCGCAUGGGGUGUUGGUGGAAAGCGUUAUGGAGUGGUUUUAGAUGGGCUCACGGCCUAUCAGCUUGUUGGUGAGGUAAUGGCUUACCAAGGCGACGACGGGUAGCCGGCCUGAGAGGGUGACCGGCCACACUGGGACUGAGACACGGCCCAGACUCCUACGGGAGGCAGCAGUGGGGAAUAUUGCACAAUGGGCGCAAGCCUGAUGCAGCGACGCCGCGUGAGGGAUGACGGCCUUCGGGUUGUAAACCUCUGUUAGCAUCGAAGAAGCGAAAGUGACGGUAGGUGCAGAGAAAGCGCCGGCUAACUACGUG